CACCUCUCUUCCUCUUGAAGAUCCAUACUCUAUGAGUUUUAUCCCUUCAAGUGGGUCAACUAAUGUCUACACAUCAUUGACCUUUAUGGACUCCAUUUCAGAUUUCAUAGCUUCUAGCCACUUAUCAGAUUCAGAUCUCUGUAUUACAUCUAUAUAGGAGAUCGGAUUCUCGUUGUUCUUAUCGAGCUUAAUAGGAUCUCCAUCCCGAA
RNAcentral lists this long non-coding RNA (209 nucleotides) under Elaeis guineensis (African oil palm). RNAcentral describes it as "long non-coding RNA (EGUI_LNC070082)". Lineage: Eukaryota; Viridiplantae; Streptophyta; Magnoliopsida; Arecales; Arecaceae. The record is from RNAcentral.